This 707-nucleotide ribosomal RNA is filed under the name Klebsiella variicola. RNAcentral describes it as "partial 23S ribosomal RNA". It matches the Rfam family "Bacterial large subunit ribosomal RNA", at positions 911 to 1617 of the family's 2925-position model. The record is from RNAcentral. RNAcentral also lists the same sequence under 1 other name. Lineage: Bacteria; Pseudomonadati; Pseudomonadota; Gammaproteobacteria; Enterobacterales; Enterobacteriaceae.
UGUUUCGGCUAGGGGGUCAUCCCGACUUACCAACCCGAUGCAAACUACGAAUACCGAAGAAUGUUAUCACGGGAGACACACGGCGGGUGCUAACGUCCGUCGUGAAGAGGGAAACAACCCAGACCGCCAGCUAAGGUCCCAAAGUCAUGGUUAAGUGGGAAACGAUGUGGGAAGGCACAGACAGCCAGGAUGUUGGCUUAGAAGCAGCCAUCAUUUAAAGAAAGCGUAAUAGCUCACUGGUCGAGUCGGCCUGCGCGGAAGAUGUAACGGGGCUAAACCAUGCACCGAAGCUGCGGCAGCGACACUAUGUGUUGUUGGGUAGGGGAGCGUUCUGUAAGCCUGCGAAGGUGGCCUGUGAGGGUUGCUGGAGGUAUCAGAAGUGCGAAUGCUGACAUAAGUAACGAUAAAGCGGGUGAAAAGCCCGCUCGCCGGAAGACCAAGGGUUCCUGUCCAACGUUAAUCGGGGCAGGGUGAGUCGACCCCUAAGGCGAGGCCGAAAGGCGUAGUCGAUGGGAAACAGGUUAAUAUUCCUGUACUUGGUGUUACUGCGAAGGGGGGACGGAGAAGGCUAUGUUAGCCGGGCGACGGUUGUCCCGGUUUAAGCAUGUAGGCGGAGGUUCCAGGUAAAUCCGGUACCUUUUAACGCUGAGGUGUGAUGACGAGGCACUACGGUGCUGAAGUAACAAAUGCCCUGCUUCCAGGAAAAG